GACGAGGUGACCGAGUGGUUAAGGUGAUGGACUGCUAAUCCAUUGUGCAUUGCACGCGUGGGAUCGAAUCCCAUCUUCGUAG
Molecule: transfer RNA, 82 nt
Organism: Daphnia magna
Lineage: Eukaryota; Metazoa; Arthropoda; Branchiopoda; Diplostraca; Daphniidae
Rfam family: tRNA
About the family: Transfer RNA (tRNA) molecules are approximately 80 nucleotides in length. Their secondary structure includes four short double-helical elements and three loops (D, anti-codon, and T loops).
Source: Rfam